GAUGAACGCUGGCGGCGUGCCUAAUACAUGCAAGUCGAGCGAACAGACGAGGAGCUUGCUCCUCUGACGUUAGCGGCGGACGGGUGAGUAACACGUGGAUAACCUACCUAUCAGACUGGGAUCACUUCGGGAAACCGGAGCUAAUACCGGAUAAUAUAUUGAACCGCAUGGUUCAAUAGUGAAAGACGGUUUUGCUGUCACUUAUAGAUGGAUCCGCGCCGCAUUAGCUAGUUGGUAAGGUAACGGCUUACCAAGGCGACGAUGCGUAGCCGACCUGAGAGGGUGAUCGCCCACACUGGAGCUUAGACACGGUCCAGACUCCUACGGGAGGCCGCAGUAGGGAAUCUGCCGCAGUGGGCGAAAGCCUGACGGAGCAACCCCGCGUGAGUGAUGAAGGUCUUCGGUUCGUAAUACUCUGUUAUUAGGGAAGAACAAAUGUGUAAGUAACUAUGCACGUCUUGACGGUACCUAAUCAGAAAGCCACGGCUAACUACGUG
This 497-nucleotide ribosomal RNA is filed under the name uncultured bacterium. Its description in RNAcentral is "partial 16S ribosomal RNA". It matches the Rfam family "Bacterial small subunit ribosomal RNA", at positions 28 to 507 of the family's 1533-position model. The record is from RNAcentral.